UAGUCCCAGCCGUAAACGUUGUGCACUUGGUGUGGGAAGGAUUGUCCCUUUCCGCGCCGGAGCUAACGCGUUAAGUGCACCGCCUGGGGAGUACGGCCGCAAGGCUAAAACUCAAAGGAAUUGACGGGGCCCGCACAAGCGGUGGAGCAUGUGGCUUAAUUCGAUGCAACGCGAAGAACCUUACCAGGGCUUGACAUGCAGCUGCACGUCUGCCGAAAGGCGGAAAGCUUUCGAAGGUGCUGCACAGGUGCUGCAUGGCUGUCGUCAGCUCGUGCCGUGAGGUGUUGGGUUAAGUCCCGCAACGAGCGCAACCCUUGUGGUUAGUUGCUACCUCCAAAGAAAUGCGGAGCGCACUCUAACCAGACUGCCUGUGAUAAGCGGGGAGGAAGGUGGGGGAU
This 398-nucleotide ribosomal RNA is filed under the name uncultured bacterium. Its description in RNAcentral is "bacterial SSU rRNA". It matches the Rfam family "Bacterial small subunit ribosomal RNA", at positions 791 to 1181 of the family's 1533-position model. The record is from RNAcentral.